UUGAAGCCGGGUCACCUUUAAGGAGCUUGGAAGGAAGUGUUUGGCCUUGGUAACGGUGUCGCGAUGUGGUUCGAGAUUCUCCCCAGGAUCGCCAUCAUGGCCGCGUGCUUAUUCAUUCCGGGAAUGGCCACUGCACGCAUCCACAGGUUCACUCACGGGGGCAAGGAAAAAAGGGUUGCCCAUUAUUCAUAUCAGUGGAAUUUGAUGGAAAGAGAUAGGCGCCUCUCUGGAGUUAAUCGUUACUAUGUGUCAAAGGGUUUGGAGAACAUUGAUUAAGGAAGC
This is an RNA transcript of Aethalodelphis obliquidens (Pacific white-sided dolphin), 282 nucleotides long. It is a transcript of the gene named NADH dehydrogenase [ubiquinone] 1 alpha subcomplex subunit 1 pseudogene, with no coding region annotated. The transcript has a single exon. The record is from RefSeq and is a predicted model, not a curated record. NCBI's taxonomy places the organism in Eukaryota, Metazoa, Chordata, Mammalia, Artiodactyla, Delphinidae.